AAAGCAGUAUUUGGCCCUGUGCUGCUUGGAACGAGGACAUUUCAAAUUAUUACCAACUGCAGCUUCUCUCUGCAUCAUUUUGCAUUAUGCAGUUUAAUGGCUGCCUGCUAGAAAGGCAUCUUCUCUGCUUCAGUCAUCUAACAGGAUUUUUGGCAUCCAGCUCAUCAGAUGGGUUAUUUUCUUUAACCAUAUUCCUGUAGGACUGCAUCUUUUAAGCAUCCUGCUGCGUUAUUUUGGCACAACCUUUAUAUCUUUUCAUCUUAUUGUUUCUGGAAUUCCUUUUCUCUUUGUAUCAAGUGAUGUUGCUGUGUGUGCUUUUUCUAACAAAUCUUGGUGGAAGAUCAGAAAAACAAACAAAAAAAAAGGCUAAUGUAUCCUAAGGAUUGAUAAUUUCAGGGUCAAAACAGAUUUUAAGUGCUGAUCUUCUUGCACCCGCUGAUGAAUCUUUCCGACCAAGAAGCUGGUGUAUCGUAUCUAGCUGGCAGCACACAGAACACAUUAGGAAAACAAAGAGAAUGUGAGAUUAAGCCGAAAACAGGCAAGAGAGGCAUUUUCUCACUGUUCUGCAUGAAGGCAGAAGAUGCUUCAAGAGGAUACAACCUCGGUUUUCUUGUUGGAACUAUGGCCUCUUCCCCCCAUCAGAUUAUUCAAAGACCUGCUAAUGUUGAGCUGAC
RNAcentral lists this long non-coding RNA (674 nucleotides) under Gallus gallus (chicken). RNAcentral's name for it is "long non-coding RNA NONGGAT011737". Lineage: Eukaryota; Metazoa; Chordata; Aves; Galliformes; Phasianidae. The record is from RNAcentral.